This 254-nucleotide ribosomal RNA is filed under the name uncultured bacterium. RNAcentral describes it as "partial 16S ribosomal RNA". It matches the Rfam family "Bacterial small subunit ribosomal RNA", at positions 524 to 776 of the family's 1533-position model. The record is from RNAcentral.
UACGGGGGGGGGCAAGCGUUGUCCGGAUUUACUGGGCGUAAAGGGCGUGCAGGCGGCUUGUUAAGUGCAGGGUGAAAGCUCCCGGCUCAACUGGGAGAGGUUCUUGCAUACUGGCGAGCUCGAGGGAGGCAGAGGAAAGUGGAAUUCCCGGUGUAGUGGUGAUAUGCGUAGAUAUCGGGAGGAACACCUGUGGCGAAGGCGGCUUUCUGGGCCUUACCUGACGCUGAGACGCGAAAGCGUGGGGAGCGAACCGG